CUGGCGGCUGCUUUACACAUGCAAGUCGAACGGUAACAGGGAGCUUGCUCCGCUGACGAGUGGCGAACGGGUGAGUAAUAUAUCGGAACGUACCCAAGAGUGGGGGAUAACGUAGCGAAAGUUACGCUAAUACCGCAUACGAUCUAUGGAUGAAAGCAGGGGACCGCAAGGCCUUGUGCUCCUGGAGCGGCCGAUAUCUGAUUAGCUAGUUGGUAGGGUAAAGGCCUACCAAGGCAUCGAUCAGUAGCUGGUCUGAGAGGACGACCAGCCACACUGGAACUGAGACACGGUCCAGACUCCUACGGGAGGCAGCAGUGGGGAAUUUUGGACAAUGGGCGCAAGCCUGAUCCAGCAAUGCCGCGUGAGUGAAGAAGGCCUUCGGGUUGUAAAGCUCUUUUGUCAGGGAAGAAACGGGUGCGGCUAAUAUCUGCAUCUAAUGACGGUACCUGAAGAAUAAGCACCGGCUAACUACGUGCCAGCAGCGCCGGGUAAUAA
Molecule: ribosomal RNA, 495 nt
Filed under: Massilia sp. K26
Lineage: Bacteria; Pseudomonadati; Pseudomonadota; Betaproteobacteria; Burkholderiales; Oxalobacteraceae
Description: bacterial SSU rRNA
Rfam family: Bacterial small subunit ribosomal RNA
Source: RNAcentral